This 1314-nucleotide long non-coding RNA is filed under the name Salmo salar (Atlantic salmon). RNAcentral describes it as "lncRNA (ENSSSAG00000084968.1)". The record is from RNAcentral. Lineage: Eukaryota; Metazoa; Chordata; Actinopteri; Salmoniformes; Salmonidae.
AUUUAUGCUUAUUUAUUUUCCCUUGUGUACUUUAACCAUUUGUACAUUGUUACAACACUGUAUAUAUACAUAAUAUGACAUUUGUAAUGUCUUUAUUCUUUUGAAAGUUCUGUAUGUGUAAUGUUUACUGUUAAUUUUUAUUGUUUAUUUCACUUUUGUAUAUUAUCUACCUCACUUGCUUUGGCAAUAUUAACACAUGUUUCCCAUGCCAAUAAAACCCCUUGAAUUGAAUUGAUAUAUUUACAUGUAUAUAGAGAGAGAUAGAGAGAAAGAGACAGUGUACCAUAAGUGAGUUGGCUGUCACCCUCGUGGUAGAGCCAGCGAGUAGCCCUCCAGCAGUAUCCAGCUCUCUUCUCUUAUCGUCCUUCUGGAAUCUUUCUCUCUCUCUGUCUCUCUCUCUAUUUGUCUCUCCUCUCUCUGUCGCUCCUCUCUCACUCUCUCGCAAGCUGACAGCCUAGUGUACAGCACAAGCUAUUCUUAGUCCCGCUGGGUCCUGACUGACACACGGACCAGAGGGAUCUCUCUCUCUCUCUCUCUCUCUCUCUCUCUCUCUCUCUCUCUCUCUCUCUCUCUCACACACACACACACACAAUUGCGAUCAGAAUUUUAACACAGUGUUAAAUGAAACACUUUCUUAGAAAUCAUAUGUGACCACUUCAAAUGGUGUCAAACUAACACUUUUCGAAGUGCUGAUAAACUAACAUCCCCAGAGUGUUGAUAAACUAACAACACAGAGUGUUGAUAAACUAACCCCCCAGAGUGUUGAUAAACUAACACCCCAGAGUGUUGAUAAACUAACCCCACCAGAGUGUUGAUAAACUAACCCCCCAGAGUGAUGAUAAACUAACCCCCCAAGUGUUGAUAAACUAACUCCCUAGAGUGUUGAUAAACUAACAUCCCCAGAGUGUUGAUAAACUAACAACACAGAGUGUUGAUAAACUAACCCCCCAGAGUGUUGAUAAACUAACACCCCAGAGUGUUGAUAAACUAACCCCACCAGAGUGUUGAUAAACUAACCCCCCAGAGUGAUGAUAAACUAACCCCCCAGUGUUGAUAAACUAACCCCCCAGAGUGAUGAUAAACUAACCCCCCAGUGUUGAUAAACUAACCCCCCAGAGUGUUGAUAAACUAACACCCCAGAGUGUGGAUAAACUAACAUCCCCAGAGUGUUGAUAAACUAAGCCCCCCCCGAGUGUUGAUAAACUAACCCCCAGAGUGUUGAUAAACUAACUCCCCAGAGUGUUGAUAAACUAACUCCCCAGAGUGUUGAUAAACUAACAUCCCCAGAGUGCUGAUAAACUAACAUCCCCAGAG